AGGAUUCAUGUGCUUUCAG
This 19-nucleotide microRNA is filed under the name Drosophila pseudoobscura pseudoobscura. RNAcentral describes it as "mir-2549-RB". The record is from RNAcentral. Lineage: Eukaryota; Metazoa; Arthropoda; Insecta; Diptera; Drosophilidae.